CGCUAGGAGAGGACACUGCCCUCCACCACAGCAGUCACACGGGAAUAAACUUUCUCCAGCCAUGCAGGACAAGAUCUUUUGACAGAAUAAAUGGUAAAUAUUUAAUGCAAACUGAAAUGAAGAGACAAUGAAAAAAUGCAAGGGAAAUAGGUUCUUCAUUUCAGAAUGUUUUUGGAGAGACUUAAACAGUAACUCCCAGCCUGCUGAUUGCAGAAAUUGAGUCAUGGAGAGGCAAGUGUAUCCACCCAUCUCUUGAAAUAACUUCUGUGUCUGGGACAGUGCAGUGAGCUAGGCCAUUUGGGGCAUUUCAACAUUUUGUAGCCUAAACAAUCACAGCAAGAUAAUCAAGCAA
Long non-coding RNA from Vidua chalybeata, 352 nucleotides. RefSeq lists it as uncharacterized. The record is from RefSeq and is a predicted model, not a curated record. NCBI's taxonomy places the organism in Eukaryota, Metazoa, Chordata, Aves, Passeriformes, Viduidae. The transcript has 3 exons.